RNAcentral lists this long non-coding RNA (3013 nucleotides) under Anolis carolinensis (green anole). RNAcentral describes it as "lncRNA (ENSACAG00000039534.1)". Lineage: Eukaryota; Metazoa; Chordata; Lepidosauria; Squamata; Anolidae. The record is from RNAcentral.
AUGACCUUGGAGGUGUCUAUGGACAAGCCGGCUCUUCGGCUUAGAAAUGGAGAUGAGCACCAACCCCCAGAGUCAGACAUGACUGGACUUAACGUCAGGGGAAAACCUUCUUCAAGUCAUUUCAGACUUUGGGCAAGCUUAAGUCUAAAAUUAUUUAUUUAUUCAUUUACUACAUUUAUUUACUACAUUUAUAUCCCGCCCUUCUCACCCCGAAGGGGACUCAGAGCAGCUGUAUGUACAUACAAUAUAUUAUAUUAUUAGCAUUGCACAAUAUUAGCAUUAUAUAUUACUAUAUUGAACUAUACCACUAUACUGUAAUAUUAUAUGUAAUAUAUAACAUAUAAUUAAUAUUAUUAUAUGGUAUUAUUAUUAGUAUUAUAUUGUAUAACAUAAUAUUAUUAUCAAUAUUAUAUGUAUAUACAAUAAAUUAUAUUAUUUAAAAUUAUAUAAAAAUAUUAUAUUAUAAAACUAAGGGUGGGGGCCAGGUAAAUGACCUUGGAGGGCCGCAUCCGGCCCCCGGGCCUUAGUUUGGGGACCCCUGGUUGAGAGGGAGAGAUAGAGACCACUUUACUCAAGGUAGGAAGCUCUAGAAGAAAUAAAAAGUACUUUUUCACACAGUAUACAGUUAAACUGUGGAAUUCACUAUUAAAAGAUGUAAUAAUGACUACCAAGGUAGACGGCUUUAAAGGGGGAUGCAUUACAUUCAGAGAUGUUAUGCUGUCAAUAACUCCAGUCAGGAUAACCAUAAAUCACCCAGGGUGUUAAAGGCUUCUUUUCCCUUAGCUUCCCCACUUCCUCAUAACCUCUUUCCAACCAUUAUCCAAAUAGCUAUUGCCUCGCUCAAGCCACAAAGCUAGUGUCAUUGAAUACAAGUAAUUGUGAGAUUUUAAUCUAGUGAAACUGAAAACUUGCACUUGCCUCACAAAAAGUAGUCUGCAGUUGUUUCCAUAACUUUGUUUCUGACCAUUUGGAUUAAUAGUAAACAUUCUAUGGUUCACAUUGGAUCAUCCAGUAAACGUCAAAGCCAUUACUGCAAGAAAUGCAAUGCUAUAUGGAUUGUUGAAAAAACUGUACGGUGUAAGAUGCAGAACAGUGUAAAAUCCCAGCUAUGGUUGGGUGAGGUAUCAAGAGUUAUGACUCAUAAUAUAUACAGCUGACAUAACAGAAGUAUACACAAAGUUUGAUGAAAUGCAGAGAACAUUCCUAGGCAUCUCUCUUACUGUAACUACAGGUGCAUGCAAGCAAAACAGAUGCUCUAUAGCAAAUAAUGCAGUCUCUCGAAAAUGCCUUAGAGGGAAUAUAAACAGUUUUGAAUACAUUAAAAAAUAGACAGUCUGUCUUGUUUAGCUCUUUGUUUGCAUGAUCUUUUGGACAGCUCAAAUUCUGUGAGCUCUACAAUUGAAAAGGCAAAUCUAUGGAUCUCUCCUGCACUCUACAAAGUGAACUGUUUUCAUGUUACGAAAGGAGACCAGAAAAAACAUAUCUUCAUACUAGAAACUCAGUUCUUCAACUUAUAUUUUAUUAUGGAAAGCUGUGAUGAGCAGGGAUGGAUGGGGAUGGAUUUUCACCUUUCAGCUCAAAUGGAGUCUCCAUUUUUAAAGCACCACAAACAGAACUGAGAGCAAGAAAGUGCUACACAGUCUGACUGUGAACAGAACAGGAUUGGAUAGACCUUUGGUUUGCCAGCAUGGGCCUUAUGUUCUUAUUACAAUAGAAUUGUGGAAAAGAGAAGAAAUCUGCAGUUUCUUAGAAACUGAAUGUGUAAUCAUGUUUGCAUGAUAAAAAAUCAGGGAGAUAGAUGCAAGCAACAGCAGCUAUGGCCAUUGUCACCACUACAGAAAACUAGAAACCUCUUUACAUAGGACUUUUUUUGCUCAGUUUUUCCAGUUGUGGACGGGCCUGGAUGGAGGUUGCCGAGCAUCAUCAGAAAACACUCAGCAGGCCCUGUCCACAUUCUUCCUGAAGUGGAGGGGAAACAUCACAAGAUGCUUCCUCUGCCACCAUGGGGAGCUACCUGCACUUUCUUCUUCUUUCCCCCAUAUGAUGGGGGGAAGGGCGACGGGGCAACAUGCAUUGCCACCCUUUCUCCUAUCUGAUGGGGGAAGGAGGGAGGCGGUAUGGGGCACCAUGAGGCACUCCGCGUGCUUUCCCUUUCAUUGGUGACUGCCACAAAAGGGCAUGGCUUCAGAGGCCAUGUGAAGAGGUCCUAGAUCAACCUCCAUUGCCAAUGGACCAGUUUUUAUUUUCCAUUGUUGUUUAACAAUAAGAAGAAAACCCUAAAUUAGAAACUUGGUUUUAGAAAGUAGAAAAGACUAAUACCCUUCAGCUGCUUCUUUGUUAACAUUCUGUUUCUUGUUACCUUGUUGGGCACUAAAUAAACGGAAAAACCCCAAAUUAAUAAUUUUGAAUGUCUUUAAUAUACCGAUUUGCCUGCAAGCUGUAGUCUUGGAAAAUCCUAAUUAUAAAGUAAUUCAGUUUGUUUAUAACAUGCAUUUGCUUUUAAUUUUACUGUAUUCUACUGCUGGAAAAUCCUUUUGACAUCUGGUUUUGGGAAAUCCUAGCAGCCAGCUUAUACGUUACAAUCAUAUGCCUUGGGAUAAAGAAAAAACUGGGCAUUAAAGUAUGGAGAGAAUUCCAAAAGCCAACCACAAUAUGGUAACUUUGUUACUUUGCAAUGGACUCACCGACUACAGCCUUUGGCUAUUUUUCAAUGGUAAUUUUACCUUUAGUGUAUUGACAGAAACGAGAGAAAACCUAUGCUUUAUAUACAAUAUGCGCUUGCAGUUAUGUUGAGAAACAUUGUUUAUACCAAAAAUCACAGAUUUUAAGUGAGAUAAAUGCAUGUCAGAAGAAGAAAUUAACGUAUUCAUUGUUCCUUGCAGGUAAGAAUGAUUUAACACAAAACAUCACUAUACAGCAUUUAAGAUAUUGAAGCAUUAUCAGAAGAUCCAUGCAAUAUUACACUAUUAUAAAGAAUCUAUGAGGACUUACCAUGUAUCAAUGGACAUUGCCA